RNAcentral lists this ribosomal RNA (489 nucleotides) under uncultured bacterium. RNAcentral's name for it is "partial 16S ribosomal RNA". It matches the Rfam family "Bacterial small subunit ribosomal RNA", at positions 30 to 506 of the family's 1533-position model. The record is from RNAcentral.
AUUGAACGCUGGCGGCAGGCCUAACACAUGCAAGUCGAACGGUAACAGGAAGAAGCUUGCUUCUUUGCUGACGAGUGGCGGACGGGUGAGUAAUGUCUGGGAAACUGCCUGAUGGAGGGGGAUAACUACUGGAAACGGUAGCUAAUACCGCAUAACGUCGCAAGACCAAAGAGGGGGACCUUCGGGCCUCUUGCCAUCGGAUGUGCCCAGAUGGGAUUAGCUAGUAGGUGGGGUAACGGCUCACCUAGGCGACGAUCCCUAGCUGGUCUGAGAGGAUGACCAGCCACACUGGAACUGAGACACGGUCCAGACCCCUACGGGAGGCAGCAGUGGGGAAUAUUGCACAAUGGGCGCAAGCCUGAUGCAGCCAGGCCGCGUGUAUGAAGAAGGCCUUCGGGUUGUAAAGUACUUUCAGCGGGGAGGAAGGGAGUAAAGUUAAGACCUGUGCUCAUUGACGUUACCCGCAGAAGAAGCACCGGCAAACUCCGU